RNAcentral lists this ribosomal RNA (406 nucleotides) under Amblyomma scutatum. RNAcentral describes it as "partial large subunit ribosomal RNA". Lineage: Eukaryota; Metazoa; Arthropoda; Arachnida; Ixodida; Ixodidae. The record is from RNAcentral.
UAUUUUGACUAUUCAAAGGUAUUGUAAUAAGACUUUAAUUGAGUGCUAAAAGAAUGGAAUUACAAAAAAAGACUUUUUUAAUUUUAAAAAUUAAAAUUAUUUUUUUUGUGAAGAAACAAAAAUUAAAAUUAAAGACAAGAAGACCCUAAGAAUUUUUUUUUUGUUUUUAAAUAAAGUAUUUUAUUUUACAAAUUUAAUUGGGGCGAUUAAUUAAUAUUGGAAACUUUAUUAAUAAAAAAAAAUGAUCCAUUACUAAUGAUUAUUUGAUUAAAAUACUCUAGGGAUAACAGCGUAAUAAUUUUUAAUAGUUCUUAUAGAAAAAAUAGUUUGCGACCUCGAUGUUGGAUUAGGAUUCUAUUUUAAUGAAGAAGUUAAAAAAAGAAGUUUGUUCAACUUUUAAAUUCCU